This 1092-nucleotide ribosomal RNA is filed under the name Triticum aestivum (bread wheat). Its description in RNAcentral is "partial small subunit ribosomal RNA". Lineage: Eukaryota; Viridiplantae; Streptophyta; Magnoliopsida; Poales; Poaceae. The record is from RNAcentral.
AUGGCCUCCAGUUUGCUCAUAAUCAUACUCCCGGGUGCCACUAUAGCUCUUGGUGCUACUGCUUUUUGCUUCUACUCUUGGUGCCUAUCAAUCGGAAAGAAACUUGAGAAAGGCAAGGUCGAAGCUUCUAUUGAUCUGGAAGACCCGGUAAGCCAUCAGUUAAUCUCUCAUGUAGAUCUUGUCCGCGCCACAGAUAAUUUUAGUGAGGAUCACAUGUUGGGAUCUGGGGGCUUUGGAAAAGUUUUUAAAGGCCAACUGAGCAGCGGUUUGGUGGUUGCAAUAAAGGUUCUUGAUAUGCGGUCCAAGCACAGCGUCAAGAGCUUUGACGCAGAAUGUCGUGUGUUCCGCAUGGCGCGUCACCGCAACCUAAUACGGGUAAUUAACACAUGCUCUAACAUGGACUUCAUAGCACUAGUGUUGCAGUACAUGCCCAACGGCAGCUUAGACAUGCUACUUCACCACUCAGAAGAUGGGGGAAGACAAUUCGGGUUUCAUGAAAGGUUAGCCGCUCUGCUCGACGUAUCAAUGGCAAUGGAGUAUUUGCACCAUGGAUACCAUGAAGUGGUUUUGCAUUGCGACUUGAAGCCUAGCAAUGUAUUGUUUGAUGAGGACAUGACUGCACAUGUGGCAGACUUUGGCAUUGCAAGGUUACUACAAUGUGAGGAUAGCUCAACGAUCUCUUCAAACAUGCCGGGUACAAUUGGAUACAUGUCACCAGAGUAUGGAUCAUAUGGAAAAGCAUCACGACUGAGUGAUGUGUUUAGCUACGGAAUAAUGCUCCUUGAAGUUUUUACUGGAAGGAAGCCUACAGAUGCUAUGUUCGUCGGAGAAUUAAGCCUCAGGCGAUGGGUUUACCAGUCAUUUCCUGCAAAGCUGAGCCAUGUCGUUGAUGCCCGGCUACUGCAAGGCUCCUCUUCAAGUUGCAACUUGCAUGGCGACUUUCUUCUGCCGGUAUUGGAAGUUGGUUUGCUCUGCUCCAACGACUCACCUUGCGAUAGGAUAAAGAUGAGCGAUGUGGUCGUUAUGCUAAAAAGGAUUCAAAUGAAGUACACUGCAUGGACAACGGAGACAUCACAGAGUGCAACAUCAUGA